RNAcentral lists this transfer RNA (72 nucleotides) under Ovis aries (sheep). It matches the Rfam family "tRNA". Rfam says of the family: Transfer RNA (tRNA) molecules are approximately 80 nucleotides in length. Their secondary structure includes four short double-helical elements and three loops (D, anti-codon, and T loops). Further hydrogen bonds mediate the characteristic L-shaped molecular structure. tRNAs have two regions of fundamental functional importance: the anti-codon, which is responsible for specific mRNA codon recognition, and the 3' end, to which the tRNAs corresponding amino acid is attached (by aminoacyl-tRNA synthetases). tRNAs cope with the degeneracy of the genetic code in two manners: having more than one tRNA (with a specific anti-codon) for a particular amino acid; and 'wobble' base-pairing, i.e. permitting non-standard base-pairing at the 3rd anti-codon position. Lineage: Eukaryota; Metazoa; Chordata; Mammalia; Artiodactyla; Bovidae. The record is from Rfam by way of RNAcentral.
UCCCUGUUGAUUGAGACAGUAAAGAAUCUGCUUGCAAUGCAGGAGACCCAGGUUCAAUCCCUGGGUAGGGAC